Molecule: ribosomal RNA, 516 nt
Filed under: Triticum aestivum (bread wheat)
Lineage: Eukaryota; Viridiplantae; Streptophyta; Magnoliopsida; Poales; Poaceae
Description: partial small subunit ribosomal RNA
Source: RNAcentral
AUGCAAUCUUAUGAAGAAAAACUUGAGUUGGAAGUUUCGAUCCCUAGAAAACUUUAUGAUGAGUGGGAACCAAUUAUUAAAAUUAAGAUUAAAGAUCAUGAAUUUUAUGCUUUAUGUGAUUUGGGUGCUAGUGUUUCCACUAUUCCCAAAACUUUGUGUGAUUUGCUAGAUUUCCGUGAUUUUGAUGAUUGCUCUCUAAACUUGCACCUUGCGGAUUCCACUAUUAAGAAACCUAUGGGAAGAAUUAAUGAUGUUCUUAUUGUUGCAAAUAGAAAUUAUGUGCCCGUAGAUUUUAUCGUUCUUGAUAUAGAUUGCAAUCCUUUAUGUCCUAUUAUUCUUGGUAGACCUUUCCUUAGAACGAUUGGUGCAAUUAUUGAUAUGAAGGAAGAGAAUAUUAGAUUCCAAUUUCCAUUAAAGAAAGGCAUGGAACACUUCCCUAGGAAGAAAAUAAAAUUACCAUAUGAAUCUAUCAUGAGAGCCACUUAUGGAUUGCCUACCAAAGAUGGCAAUACCUAG